This 45-nucleotide non-coding RNA is filed under the name Schistosoma mattheei. Lineage: Eukaryota; Metazoa; Platyhelminthes; Trematoda; Strigeidida; Schistosomatidae. The record is from RNAcentral.
AUCCAGCUGAUGGGUUCCAAAUAGGAUGAGACACAUGUCCUGGAU